This 260-nucleotide ribosomal RNA is filed under the name uncultured bacterium. Its description in RNAcentral is "partial 16S ribosomal RNA". It matches the Rfam family "Bacterial small subunit ribosomal RNA", at positions 94 to 354 of the family's 1533-position model. The record is from RNAcentral.
AGUGGCGGACGGGUGAGUAACGCGUGGGUAACCUGCCUCAUACAGGGGGAUAACAGUUAGAAAUGACUGCUAAUACCGCAUAAGCGCACAAAACCGCAUGGUUUGGUGUGAAAAACUCUGGUGGUAUACGAUGGUUCCGCGUCUGAUUAGCUAGUUGGUGGGGUAAUGGCCUACCAAGGCAACGAUCAGUAGCCGGCCUGAGAGGGUGAACGGCCACAUUGGGACUGAGACACGGCCCAAACUCCUACGGGAGGCAGCAG